Molecule: ribosomal RNA, 546 nt
Filed under: uncultured bacterium
Lineage: Bacteria
Description: bacterial SSU rRNA
Rfam family: Bacterial small subunit ribosomal RNA
Source: RNAcentral
AAUAGAUACCCGGGUAGUCCACGCCGUAAACGGUGGGCACUAGGUGUGGGCAGCAUUCCACGUUGUCCGUGCCGUAGCUAACGCAUUAAGUGCCCCGCCUGGGGAGUACGGCCGCAAGGCUAAAACUCAAAGGAAUUGACGGGGGGCCCGCACAAGCGGCGGAGCAUGUGGCUUAAUUCGACGCAACGCGAAGAACCUUACCAAGGCUUGACAUACACCGGAAACAUCCAGAGAUGGGUGCCCCCUUGUGGUCGGUGUACAGGUGGUGCAUGGCUGUCGUCAGCUCGUGUCGUGAGAUGUUGGGUUAAGUCCCGCAACGAGCGCAACCCUUGUCCCGUGUUGCCAGCAGGCCCUUGUGGUGCUGGGGACUCACGGGAGACCGCCGGGGUCAACUCGGAGGAAGGUGGGGACGACGUCAAGUCAUCAUGCCCCUUAUGUCUUGGGCUGCACACGUGCUACAAUGGUCGGUACAAAGGGCUGCAAUACCGCAAGGUGGAGCGAAUCCCAAAAAGCCGGCCUCAGUUCGGAUUGGGGUCUGCAACUCGA